AAGACUAUAUGUCAUGUGUAGUAUUGAGUAUAAAAACUAGAACCGCAACUGGUUCCCAAAAGCAAAAGUUAUGUUUCCUUGUUAGAAGAUACAAAGCCAAAGACUCAUACGGACUUCGGCUACACCAUGAAAAUUUUGAGAAGCAAUAAGAAGCUUGGUUAGUGUUUUGGAGUCAAAUAUGACUAGAUGUCAUGUGUAUGAUUGAGUAUAAGAACUAGAACCGCAACCGUUUCCCAAAAGCUAAAGUAGUGUUUCCUUGUUAGAAGCUACAAAGCCAAAGACUCAUACGGACUUCGUGUACACCAUCAAAAUUUUGAGAAGCAAUAAGAAGCUUGGUUAGUAUUUUAGAGUGAAAUAUUACAGGAUAUCAUGUGUAUCAUUGAGUAUAAGAACUAGAACCGCAACCGAUUCCCAAAAGCUAAAGUAAUGUUUCUUGUUUGUAGAUACAAAUCCAAAGACUCAUACCGACUUCGGCUACACCAUCAAAGCUUUGUGAGGCAAUAAGAAGCUUGGUUAGUUUUUCGGAAUCAAAUAUGGCUAGAUGUCAUGUGUAUGAUUGAGUAUAAGAACUAGAACCGCAACUAAUUCCGAAAAGCUAAAUUAAUGUUUCCUUGUUAGAAGAUACAAAGCUAAAAACUCAUACGGACUCCGGCUAAGCCAUUAAUGUUUUGAGAAGCAAUAAGAAGCUUGGUUAUUU
RNAcentral lists this small RNA (697 nucleotides) under Arabidopsis thaliana (thale cress). RNAcentral describes it as "ATSL197510". Lineage: Eukaryota; Viridiplantae; Streptophyta; Magnoliopsida; Brassicales; Brassicaceae. The record is from RNAcentral.